This 228-nucleotide ribosomal RNA is filed under the name uncultured bacterium. RNAcentral's name for it is "partial 16S ribosomal RNA". It matches the Rfam family "Bacterial small subunit ribosomal RNA", at positions 28 to 228 of the family's 1533-position model. The record is from RNAcentral.
GACGAACGCUGGCGGCGUGCCUAAUACAUGCAAGUCGAACGAACUCUGGUAUUGAUUGGUGCUUGCAUCAUGAUUUACAUUUGAGUGAGUGGCGAACUGGUGAGUAACACGUGGGAAACCUGCCCGGAAGCGGGGGAUAACACCUGGAAACAGAUGCUAAUACCGCAUAACAACUUGGACCGCAUGGUCCGAGUUUGAAAGAUGGCUUCGGCUGUUACUUUUGGAUGG